CGGGGUGGAGUAACGCGUGGGUAACCUGCCUUGUACAGGGGGAUAACAGUUGGAAAAGGCUGCUAAUACCGCAUAAGCGCACGGCAUCGCAUGAUGCAGUGUGAAAAACUCCGGUGGUAUAAGAUGGACCCGCGUUGGAUUAGCUAGUUGGUGAGGUAACGGCCCACCAAGGCGACGAUCCAUAGCCGACCUGAGAGGGUGACCGGCCACAUUGGGACUGAGACACGGCCCAA
Molecule: ribosomal RNA, 233 nt
Filed under: uncultured bacterium
Lineage: Bacteria
Description: partial 16S ribosomal RNA
Rfam family: Bacterial small subunit ribosomal RNA
Source: RNAcentral